This 319-nucleotide ribosomal RNA is filed under the name uncultured soil bacterium. Its description in RNAcentral is "bacterial SSU rRNA". It matches the Rfam family "Bacterial small subunit ribosomal RNA", at positions 26 to 346 of the family's 1533-position model. The record is from RNAcentral.
AGAUUGAACGCUGGCGGCAUGCCUUACACAUGCAAGUCGAACGGCAGCACGGGAGCAAUCCUGGUGGCGAGUGGCGAACGGGUGAGUAAUACAUCGGAACGUGCCCAAUCGUGGGGGAUAACGCAGCGAAAGCUGUGCUAAUACCGCAUAAGAUCUACGGAUGAAAGCAGGGGAUCGCAAGACCUUGCGCGAAUGGAGCGGCCGAUGGCAGAUUAGGUAGUUGGUGAGGUAAAGGCUCACCAAGCCUUCGAUCUGUAGCUGGUCUGAGAGGACGACCAGCCACACUGGGACUGAGACACGGCCCAGACUCCGUACGGGA